RNAcentral lists this ribosomal RNA (499 nucleotides) under uncultured bacterium. Its description in RNAcentral is "partial 16S ribosomal RNA". It matches the Rfam family "Bacterial small subunit ribosomal RNA", at positions 28 to 507 of the family's 1533-position model. The record is from RNAcentral.
GACGAACGCUGGCGGCGUGCCUAGUACAUGCAAGUCGAGCGAAGUUUUUCUGGUUCUUGCACUAGAAAAACUUAGCGGCGAACGGGUGAGUAACACGUAAAGAACCUGCCUCAUAGACUGGGACAACUAUUGGAAACGAUAGCUAAUACCGGAUAACAGUAUUUCUCGCAUGAGAGAUAUUUAAAAGUUGGUUAUGCUAACACUAUGAGAUGGCUUUGCGGUGCAUUAGCUAGUUGGUGGGGUAAAGGCCCACCAAGGCGACGAUGCAUAGCCGACCUGAGAGGGUGAUCGGCCACACUGGGACUGAGACACGGCCCAGACUCCUACGGGAGGCAGCAGUAGGGAAUCUUCCGCAAUGGGCGAAAGCCUGACGGAGCAACGCCGCGUGAGUGAAGAAGGAUUUCGGUUCGUAAAGCUCUGUUGUUAGGGAAGAAUGGAUAUGUAGUAACUAUACAUGUAAGAGACGGUACCUAACCAGAAAGCCACGGCUAACUACGUG